This 822-nucleotide ribosomal RNA is filed under the name Triticum aestivum (bread wheat). RNAcentral describes it as "partial small subunit ribosomal RNA". The record is from RNAcentral. Lineage: Eukaryota; Viridiplantae; Streptophyta; Magnoliopsida; Poales; Poaceae.
AUGGCGACUUGCAUUCGUAAGGUGGUCUCGGAGGAGCUUGGAGUGUCCAGGGGAAGGAGAAGCGAAGAUAAGGAUACCUGGUGGUGGAAUGAUGAUGUCCAGAAGGCGAUUAAAGAGAAGAAAGAUUGCUUCAAACGCCUAUACCUGGAUAGGAGUGCAGACAACAUAGAGAAGUACAAGAUGGUGAAGAAGGCUGCAAAGCGAGCUGUUGGUGAAGCAAGGGGUCGGGCAUAUGAGGACCUCUACCAAUGGUUAGGCACGAAGGAAGGUGAAAGGGACAUCUAUAAGAUGGCCAAGAUCCGAGAGAGGAAGACGAGGGAUAUUGGCCAAGUCAAAUGCAUCAAGGACGGAGCAGGCCAACUCUUGGUGAAGGACGAGGAGAUUAAGCAUAGAUGGCGGGAGUACUUCGACAAGCUGUUCAAUGGGGAGAAUGAGAGUUCUACCAUUGAACUGGACGACUCCUUUGAUGAGACCAACAUGCGUUUUGUGCGGCGAAUCCAGGAGUCUGAGGUCAAGGAGGCUUUAAAAAGGAUGAAAGGAGGCAAGGUGAUGGGCCCUGAUUGUAUCCCCAUUGAGGUGUGGAAAGGUCUCGGGGACAUAGCGAUAGUAUGGCUAACCAAGCUUUUCAACCUCAUUUUUCGGGCAAACAAGAUGCCAGAAGAAUGGAGAUGGAGUAUAUUAGUACCAAUCUUCAAGAACAAGGGGGAUGUUCAGAGUUGUACUAAUUACCGUGGAAUUAAGCUGAUGAGCCAUACAAUGAAGCUAUGGAAGAGAGUCAUUGAGCACCGCUUAAGAAGAAUGACAAGCGUGACCAAAAAUUAG